ACCCAGACCUACUGAAUUGGAAGUGCUGAGGAUGGGGUCCAGCAAUCUGUGGUUGAACAAGCUCUGCAGGCAUCCAGGAGCAGAGCUGUGGGGCAGCAGAAUCUGUGAUGACAGAGAAUGAUGAUGUAUUUUUGCCAGCAGAUGCUUUUGCUCCUGUUUUGAUACCCCAAUAUUCGGAUGCAGAAAAGGACUCUGAGCAUUGCUGACGGGUGUGCUCUGCACACCUAUCUCUUCAGGAUCUGAAUAAUUUGGUGGAAAGACAAUGCCUUUUCUGGAAAAGGGUGUCAGGAAAGGUCCAAGGCUCAAGGAAAAUGGACAUCAUGUGCACAACCUCCUAACUCAGAGGACAAGCAAGUGACCGGAAGGCCAAGGAUGCUGUCUGACCACAGACAUUGCAAUGCAGACACAUAAGAUUAGAAGCAAAACGCAGGAGGCUGGAGUUACCUUUCAUGGAAGGGUAAGCAGGAAGCAACUACAAGAUCAUCAUUUCAAAACAAUAUGAAAGCAGAAUGGGAAAUGCCAUGGCAUGCUCCCUCUUUUCAGGCAAUAUGGACACUUUGGGGAAGUUAUGAAGCGUCUCCCAUUCCCGCUUGAGGUACUCAAUAGAGCCCACAAACACAAUGUGCUUGAGCUCAUGGUAAUGAAAGUUGCUGGCACGGAGCGGCAUCACCAGGUUCCGGAGGCCGAUCAGGGCUGAGCUGACGUCGCCAAAGAUGCAGACCACGACAUGGCCACUCAGGACGGUCAUGGCAGCUUCACUUCGAGUCUACAACAGGGAGAAGUGGGUAAGAGUCAGAGAGAAGACUGCAUAGGGCUGUUGUAAGGAGUGAAAUAAAUCAUUUGUGCAAAGAAUCAAGCAAAUA
Long non-coding RNA from Homo sapiens (human), 863 nucleotides. Ensembl annotates it as KCNMA1 antisense RNA 1. Its record names the gene KCNMA1-AS1. The record is from Ensembl. NCBI's taxonomy places the organism in Eukaryota, Metazoa, Chordata, Mammalia, Primates, Hominidae.